Molecule: ribosomal RNA, 254 nt
Filed under: uncultured bacterium
Lineage: Bacteria
Description: partial 16S ribosomal RNA
Rfam family: Bacterial small subunit ribosomal RNA
Source: RNAcentral
UACGGGGGGGGCAAGCGUUGUUCGGAUUUACUGGGCGUAAAGGGCGCGUAGGCGGCCAGCACAAGUCAGUUGUGAAAUCUCCGAGCUUAACUCGGAACGGUCAACUGAUACUGUGCGGCUAGAGUGCAGAAGGGGCAACUGGAAUUCUUGGUGUAGCGGUGAAAUGCGUAGAUAUCAAGAGGAACACCUGCGGCGAAGGCGGGUUGCUGGGCUGACACUGACGCUGAGGCGCGAAAGCUAGGGGAGCGAACGGG